Molecule: long non-coding RNA, 1071 nt
Filed under: Rattus norvegicus (Norway rat)
Lineage: Eukaryota; Metazoa; Chordata; Mammalia; Rodentia; Muridae
Description: long non-coding RNA NONRATT031353
Source: RNAcentral
CUCUACUCAUCUUGCUGGAUCGUGAGAUGAUGAAGGGUGCUCCUCACCCAAGAUGCCAGGAGUCUCCCCAGUCUUGUGGCCUUCACAAAGCAAGUUCUCUUUCCUCAUGUCUUCCAGAACUUUCUCCAGGACACAGGAGAUGCAGAGGAGAAGGCAGCCCUGGUAACCAGGCGCCCAAUAUGACCAAACCCGUUCACAACGACCUUCACCAUCUUGUCUGUGAUGAGGCUGGCACUGCCUGAGAGGAUGCAGCUGUCUCUGGAACAGGGAGGAGCAGAGAGCCGUGAGUUUUAUUUUUAAUGGCUACGUUUCUGUGACUCUUUCCUUUGCUAAGUUCACCCUCACAGGCACAUGAGGUAAGGACUCCAGAGCUGUCUGUGUGGUGUGCUGAGGUCUGGGGAAGCCACACGUGCAGGUAGAUGGAGUUCCACAUAGUUUUCUUUUCUGAAAUCCGGACUCUUCCAGACAUUGACGUUGCUGCUCCUGAUGCUAGAGGACACAGUCCUCUGAAGCACACAGUAAAUUCUUCUCAAUCCCAUAGAAACCACCUUCCAAGUCCUUCUCAUAGAUCAGGGUUCCAUACAUUCCAAGGAUAGCCCCACUAUGCUUAGAGGAACAACCUAGCAGGCCAGGUUCUCCUCAGGGAGAGCAAGACCUGGGCCUUAAUAGGGCCAGGUUUCAGCAGAGCCCGAUGGCCAACCUGGGCUCUGUUCAAUCCCCCUGCCACUGGCUUUCUAGCUCGCUUCUUAUUCUUUGUGCCUGAGAAACUGUAGCAUGGUUUCCCUGGCUGUGGCCUGGGGAAGAAGAGAGGGCGGGAUUGCAAGGAUGUUACCUUUAAACGUGUGCUCACGCAUACCUCAAAGAGCUGGGAGACCCACUGAUGCUUGUGGGUCAUCAAGCUGAAUGUCUCACGUAGGAAGGAAACGUUUUCCUUUCAUAUUGCUCUGAAAUGGCGGCUGGGCUGUAACAUAUCAACACUGCUUGUUCAUUAUGUAAAAAUACAGUGAAAGCAAUUCAUUGCAAUAUUAGAGAGCUUUUCGUCCUCUCUCAGUCUCUCUUUGGUGACAAGUA